AACGAACGCUGGCGGCAUGCCUAACACAUGCAAGUCGAACGAGACCUUCGGGUCUAGUGGCGCACGGGUGCGUAACGCGUGGGAACCUUCCCUUAGGUUCGGAAUAACUCCCCGAAAGGGGUUCUAAUACCGGAUAAUGUCUUCGGACCAAAGAUUUAUCGCCUUUGGAUGGGCCCGCUUUGGAUUAGCUUGUUGGUAGGGUAAAAGCCUACCAAGGCGACGAUCCAUAGAUGGUCUGAGAGGAUGAUCAGCCACACUGGGACUGAGACACGGCCCAGACUACUACGGGAGGCAGCAGUGGGGAAUAUUGGAAAAUGGGAGAAAGCCUGAUACAGCAAUGCCGCGUGAGUGAUGAAGGCCUUAGGGUUGUAAAGCUCUUUUACCCGGGAUGAUAAUGACAGUACCGGGAGAAUAAGCUCCGGCUAACUCCGUG
Molecule: ribosomal RNA, 433 nt
Filed under: uncultured bacterium
Lineage: Bacteria
Description: partial 16S ribosomal RNA
Rfam family: Bacterial small subunit ribosomal RNA
Source: RNAcentral